Molecule: ribosomal RNA, 558 nt
Filed under: Fusarium oxysporum
Lineage: Eukaryota; Fungi; Ascomycota; Sordariomycetes; Hypocreales; Nectriaceae
Description: eukaryotic LSU rRNA
Rfam family: 5.8S ribosomal RNA (bases 203-356)
Source: RNAcentral
GAAGUAAAAAGUCGUAACAAGGUCUCCGUUGGUGAACCAGCGGAGGGAUCAUUACCGAGUUUACAACUCCCAAACCCCUGUGAACAUACCACUUGUUGCCUCGGCGGAUCAGCCCGCUCCCGGUAAAACGGGACGGCCCGCCAGAGGACCCCUAAACUCUGUUUCUAUAUGUAACUUCUGAGUAAAACCAUAAAUAAAUCAAAACUUUCAACAACGGAUCUCUUGGUUCUGGCAUCGAUGAAGAACGCAGCAAAAUGCGAUAAGUAAUGUGAAUUGCAGAAUUCAGUGAAUCAUCGAAUCUUUGAACGCACAUUGCGCCCGCCAGUAUUCUGGCGGGCAUGCCUGUUCGAGCGUCAUUUCAACCCUCAAGCACAGCUUGGUGUUGGGACUCGCGUUAAUUCGCGUUCCCCAAAUUGAUUGGCGGUCACGUCGAGCUUCCAUAGCGUAGUAGUAAAACCCUCGUUACUGGUAAUCGUCGCGGCCACGCCGUUAAACCCCAACUUCUGAAUGUUGACCUCGGAUCAGGUAGGAAUACCCGCUGAACUUAAGCAUAUCAAU